This 399-nucleotide ribosomal RNA is filed under the name uncultured bacterium. RNAcentral describes it as "bacterial SSU rRNA". It matches the Rfam family "Bacterial small subunit ribosomal RNA", at positions 356 to 773 of the family's 1533-position model. The record is from RNAcentral.
GGGGAAUAUUGCACAAUGGAGGAAACUCUGAUGCAGCGACGCCGCGUGAGCGAUGAAGGUUUUCGAAUCGUAAAGCUCUGUCCUAAGGGACGAUAAUGACGGUACCUUAGGAGGAAGCCCCGGCUAACUACGUGCCAGCAGCCGCGGUAAUACGUAGGGGGCGAGCGUUGUCCGGAUUUAUUGGGCGUAAAGGGUGCGUAGGCGGCCUUGUAAGUCAGAUGUGAAAUCUCACGGCUUAACCGUGGUAAGCAUUUGAAACUGUGAGGCUUGAGUACAGGAGAGGAGAGUGGAAUUCCUAGUGUAGCGGUGAAAUGCGUAGAUAUUAGGAGGAAUACCAGUGGCGAAGGCGACUCUCUGGACUGUAACUGACGCUGAGGCACGAAAGCGUGGGGAGCAAAC